UACGUAGGGUGCGAGCGUUGUCCGGAAUCACUGGGCGUAAAGCGCACGUAGGCGGAUUUGUCAGUCAGGGGUGAAAUCCCGGGGCUCAACCUCGGAACUGCCUUUGAUACAGCAAGUCUUGAGUUCGAGAGAGGUGGGUGGAAUUCCUGGUGUAGCGGUGAAAUGCGCAGAUAUCAGGAAGAACACCCGUGGCUAAGGCGGCUCUCUAGUACGGUACUGACGCUGAGACGCGAAAGCGUGGGGAGCGAACAGG
This 253-nucleotide ribosomal RNA is filed under the name uncultured bacterium. RNAcentral describes it as "partial 16S ribosomal RNA". It matches the Rfam family "Bacterial small subunit ribosomal RNA", at positions 524 to 776 of the family's 1533-position model. The record is from RNAcentral.